This 658-nucleotide long non-coding RNA is filed under the name Bemisia tabaci. RNAcentral describes it as "lncRNA ENSSSA2NGG014152". Lineage: Eukaryota; Metazoa; Arthropoda; Insecta; Hemiptera; Aleyrodidae. The record is from RNAcentral.
UUAUUGAGAUUAACCCCGCGAAACUUUUAUUUGACAAUUAUUUAAAAUAAUGAAGGAGAACUCAAGAACUCUAGGAAGUUUUGAUCGAAGAAAUAACUCCUCCUUUCACGUGUAAAAGUAUGUAUGGAAUUUACAGAUUUCCGGCAGUGAUAUAAUAGAGCCGUUGGUACUAUGCACAACAAAAGAGGGAAAACCUGAAAAAAGUGAGGUUAGUUUGUUUUGACCGCUCUUCCUUCAAAUUCGUCGCAAUUUGACAUUUUGUUUACCCAUGAAUAUUUCGUGAUCUUUCCGUUAUGAAGGGUUCAGAGGAAACGAAACUUUCAACAUCUCCAACAUCGAAACGAAUCAAGCUCAAUAUGAAAUCUAACGACCGCAAAUCUGCACUGUUGGAAGAGGACUUGAGUGAUAUGGGAGUAGAUUUAUUGUACCCAAAAGAUGAUGAUCCAGAUGCGCCAUUCUCUGCUGAUGAUUCCGAGAAUGAAUGCCCACCCUCCUGAAUUGAGUCAGGGAGCUGUGCUAAAAUCUUCAGAUUCCUCCUCUAGAGUAUUGAAGUGUCUUAAACCAAGUAAUGUUGAAGUAACGCCGGAUGAUUUUCUUCGCUUUCGUAAAAGAACCUCAGUAUCAAAUUUACUGGCAAAGGUGAGUUUUUUCCCUCUUU